Molecule: ribosomal RNA, 460 nt
Filed under: uncultured bacterium
Lineage: Bacteria
Description: bacterial SSU rRNA
Rfam family: Bacterial small subunit ribosomal RNA
Source: RNAcentral
GGAUUAGGCAUGCAAGUCGAGCGCUCGUAGCAAUACGAGAGCGGCGAACGGCGUAGUAAGGUGUAGGAACGUGCCCUCUGGACGGGGAUAGCUACGGGAAACUGUAGGUAAUACCCGAUGAUCUCUGCGGAGCAAAGGUGUGAUUCCGCCAGAGGAGCGGCUUACAUGAUAUUAGCUAGUUGGCGGGGUAAUGGCCCACCAAGGCGAUGAUGUCUAGGGGGUGUGAGAGCAUGGCCCCCACGACCGGAACUGAGAUACUGUCCGGACACCUACGGGUGGCUGCAGUCGAGAAUCUUCCGCAAUGGACGAAAGUCUGACGGAGCGAUGCCGCGUGCGGGAUGAAGGCCCUUGGGUUGUAAACCGCUGUCAGAGGGGAUGAAAUCUCCGGAGGUUCUCCUCCGGAGUUGACAGAGCCUCAGAGGAAGCACGGGCUAAGUAUGUGCCAGCAGCCGCGGUAAUA